RNAcentral lists this long non-coding RNA (540 nucleotides) under Elaeis guineensis (African oil palm). RNAcentral's name for it is "long non-coding RNA (EGUI_LNC043481)". The record is from RNAcentral. Lineage: Eukaryota; Viridiplantae; Streptophyta; Magnoliopsida; Arecales; Arecaceae.
AUGUUGCAAGCCGCACAUGCGUCCGGCCUCUAGGAGUCGUCCACACGAGCCCACGAAUCUCGAUCAGAAGUCCUGCUUCAGGAAAUCAGCACAGUAUGCUAGUACUGCGCUGAUCCUUCUUUGAUGGUUGAUCAGGUGCCUCCUUCUUCUUGAUUUAGACUCUUUCAAAGAUAGAAAGUAGAAAGAGGAGUUUCAGAUCUGAGACACUCUCAGGAAACUCAAGAUGGAAGGAGGAAAGAUAUGAAAAUAAAAACCCUAGAAGAAGACCCUCUUCUUCUUCACAUUUUUCUCUCUAGACACCCAAACUUGCAUCUUUUAUAUCUCCACGACCCAAAGGUAUUUCUCUAUGAUUUUUGGAUGGCAGAAAGGUCUCUUAAAUAUCUAUCUCCUCUUAAAAUUUCACGAAUAAACUCAUCUUAUAUAGAGAGAUAUGAUAGACUCCUUGUCUAGGUCAAACACCUAGUCAAGGCUUAUCCAAACAUGGCAAGUUAAGGGACGCCCAACUCUUGAGCACCUCCUCCAUAUUUUCAUGCAUGGAUU